GUAUGAACGGCAAAACCUCUUCCAACUGUCUCCCCUCCCAUCCUUUUAAAUUUCCUCCUGUGUGAAGAAGCACAGAUAUAUCAGAAAGACGAGAAGACCCUGUCGAGCUUUAACCACUAAGUGGACCUUACCCUUUUCAGGCACCACCCAAAGGUUUUGGUUGGGGCAACCAUGGAGGAAAAAAGAUCCUCCAGAACAAAUAGAAGAAAGCUUUUCACUAUUUUACGACUGAGAACCAGGAACUGGUAUUCGGAAAAAGUUACCGCAGGGAUAACAGCGUCAUCUCCUCUAAGAGUCCUUAUUGACGAGGAGGUUUGCGACCUCGAUGUUGGAUUGGGGCCCCCUUAGGGUGCAGAAGCUCUAAACGGUUAGACUGUUCGUCUAUUAAAGCCCUACAUGAUCUGA
RNAcentral lists this ribosomal RNA (405 nucleotides) under Holothuria arguinensis. RNAcentral's name for it is "partial 16S ribosomal RNA". It matches the Rfam family "Bacterial large subunit ribosomal RNA", at positions 1990 to 2608 of the family's 2925-position model. The record is from RNAcentral. Lineage: Eukaryota; Metazoa; Echinodermata; Holothuroidea; Aspidochirotida; Holothuriidae.